GGAUCCGUGGUGCAAUGGUAGCGUAUCUGACUCCAGAUCAAAAGGUUGCGUGUUCAAUUCACGUUGGGUUCA
Molecule: transfer RNA, 72 nt
Organism: Ipomoea nil (Japanese morning glory)
Lineage: Eukaryota; Viridiplantae; Streptophyta; Magnoliopsida; Solanales; Convolvulaceae
Rfam family: tRNA
About the family: Transfer RNA (tRNA) molecules are approximately 80 nucleotides in length. Their secondary structure includes four short double-helical elements and three loops (D, anti-codon, and T loops).
Source: Rfam